ACUCGAGUGGCGAACGGGUGAGUAACACGUGGGUGAUCUGCCCUGCACUUCGGGAUAAGCUUGGGAAACUGGGUCUAAUACCGGAUAGGAGCCAUCUUUAGUGUGGUGGUUGGAAAGUUUCGGCGGUUGGGGAUGGACUCGCGGCUUAUCAGAUUGUUGGUGGGGUAGUGGCUUACCAAGGCUUUGACGGGUAGCCGGCCUGAGAGGGUGACCGGCCACAUUGGGACUGAGAUACGGCCCAG
Molecule: ribosomal RNA, 242 nt
Filed under: uncultured Actinomycetales bacterium
Lineage: Bacteria; Bacillati; Actinomycetota; Actinomycetes; Actinomycetales
Description: partial 16S ribosomal RNA
Rfam family: Bacterial small subunit ribosomal RNA
Source: RNAcentral